Molecule: long non-coding RNA, 2137 nt
Filed under: Naja naja (Indian cobra)
Lineage: Eukaryota; Metazoa; Chordata; Lepidosauria; Squamata; Elapidae
Description: lncRNA (ENSNNAG00000005327.1)
Source: RNAcentral
UUAAUUGAUGUUAAUUUUUAAAAAUCCCUGUAUUCUGAAUUUAGGCCUUACAACCCAUCUGGAACCGCCUCCUUGGGGCCAAAUUAGCACAAGAGCUCACUCAGGAGGUAGAACCUCCAGUGACAGAGGGAGUCUAUAGGCCUCCUGAGCUCCCUAGGCCUAGAGUAUUUUUUUUCAAAAAAAUAGCAUUUGGUGAAUAGGGACUGCAGGGGUUUCAUUGGAAUCUCUUGCAAGCCAAAAAGUAAUGGUUUAACUCUCAGAAGACACUGACAUGAUGAAUGAUUGUAUUAAUUUAGAUAUUCUGAGCUGCACAACAACCCUGCAGAGUUGUGCAAUCACACCUUAAAGAGGCCUUUCCCAGCUCCUUUCAUGUCCAAGGAGGUGAAAAUCCUAAUCCUCAUGAAUUUAUCUCUGUGAAAUCAGACUUGGAACUCUAUGAGAUCUGAUCGAUUUGCUUAAUUUUAAAAAAGCACGUAAUUUAGGUGCGAUCUCGAGAAUCAAAUCAAAUCAAAUUAAAAUUGCUCAAUGCUGUAUCACACCACUUCCGUCAACAUCCCAAAGUCUCCGCCCACGCCCCGCCCACGCCCUCCGAUUGGAGGCGAUCCGCCCAAUCUGAGAAUGGUGACGUCACCGCCCGUUUCCACCAAUCCUGGCAGGGGAGGGCGGAGCUCGCUUCGCAGCAGCAGCAGCAGCGGAGGGGCGACUGGAAGCUCGGAGUUGGCUGAUCUGCAGAUUCCCAAUGCAGCUGAAAAUAGCAGUCCUGGGCGGAGGAGUAACUGGUCUCAGCUUGCUAUUACCUUGCCAGAAGCUCGCUGGCAUCUAAGGUGAGAACUUGCCCAUUGAAUCGAUCAAUCCAUCAAUCAAAGUGAUUUAUUGCUGUUAGAGAUCAGUAUUUUAUUUAUAGACAAAUAAAAUUUUAGGACAGAGUUAAACUACAUUUGUGAAACAACCCAUGUCACAUCUGAUAUACAAAAUAUAAAAUCCAGGCUGUAGCACAUAUCAAAUUAUAACAACUGUUUGGUUUAGCAAUGGGCAUUUUAGGCUCCUCGAAUUACAACAGUUCAUUGGAUGACUGUUCGAAGUUACAACGGCAUUUUUAAAAAAGGUGACUUAUGACCAUUUUUCACACUAACGAUUGUUGCAGCAUUCACAAGAUCGAGCUUCAAAUGCUUGGCAACUAGCUUGUAUUUACGACGGUCACAGUGCAGUCCCCUUUUGCAAUCCUUUCAAACUUGAUAGGGAAGCCGGAUUCACUUAAUGACGGUGUUACCGACUUAACUGCAGCGAUUCGCUGAACCGCUGCGGCAAGAAAUGGGGCCAAAACUCACUUGGCAACGGACGUCAGGGGUUUCAUUUUGGUCUUACACCAAGGACCCAAAACAUGAAUUACAGUCCAGAAAUGCCUUCAGCUUAACUGUUUUAUUAGUCACAGUUUAAAGUCCAAAAAGUAAAUGAUGAGGCAAAAGGAAAACAAGAACAAACCGUCUCGGUGAGAGUUCCGAAGCAAACCAAGAUAAGUAAUCAUACGUUCCAAGUUCCAAGCAGAUAUCCGAGGAAAGCCCUUGGGAAGAACACCAACAAAUAGAAACCUCCUUCAAAGGAAACACUAACUUUGACUCCAGCAAUUCUGACUAUGCAGUUACAAACUUAUAUACAUAGCUCCCAGCUGUAAGCCCUGAGGAGGAUCAUGGCCCUCUCCUCCUGAGUAGACCAUGCUUUUCCCUGAUCCUCUCCUCCCUGUGUGCCCUGGGAUGGAUAGGAGAUGGGCCUGGAUCCUCCUCUGAUUGCUCAGCCGGCCUCUGCCCUUCCCCAGCCUCCUCCACCACCUCUGGAGCCACACUCCCACUCCCUGUUGGCUGUUCCUCCUCUUCCCUCCAGUCAGUCUCCACCAGGGGCAUGACACUACCUACCUGUAUGGGUGUUUUGGCCCUGAUGGAAAUUAAGAGGGGAAAGAGUUGUUUUCAGAAUCCUCUCUUCCUCCUCUUAAUUUCCAUCUGGGCCAAAACAACCAUAAAGGAAGUUCUUGAUGUAUGAGCAACUCUUAUCAUUUAAUGACCCCAUAAUCCAGUGGUGGCUAACCUUUUUGGGCUCCUUUGCCAAAAUUUUUUGUUUGUGCUGCACCCCGAAGGCAAUGCAC